Long non-coding RNA from Drosophila miranda, 3602 nucleotides. RefSeq lists it as uncharacterized. The record is from RefSeq and is a predicted model, not a curated record. NCBI's taxonomy places the organism in Eukaryota, Metazoa, Arthropoda, Insecta, Diptera, Drosophilidae. The transcript is spliced from 2 exons.
UCGCAGUUUUAUAGUCGAUUGCCCGCGCAUCUCUACACCGUGCAGUUUUGUUUCUGUUUUUUAUUUGUUUUGUUUUAUUUCACGACAUUCGCAAUACGGUCAACUGUAAAAUGUGACAAAGCAGUGUCACCUAGGUACCAACGGCGGCAUUAUGAUGGCCCUGAACAUAUUCACUACCAAGAUGACUGAGUUGGACCAGCCACGCCGUUUCAGAUUGAGAUUGACUGGAAGGACUGCGGAUUUUUUUUUACUAGAUCUAGAGCAGGAUCAAGGCGCCUUACGCUGGACACCUGUUAGAACCUGGUCACCUGUGGUGUUUCGCCCAAGAUGGGCCUAAAUGAAGCUUCUCCUCAAGCAUGUCCUUCCCUUUGUGUUAGAACAGGAGAGAAACUACAAGCUCUUGUAUUUCCUAUAUUAUAUACAUAAAUAGAAAUUGUAUGUAAAGAAAACCUUGGGCAAUCCAAAGUGGAUGAUACUAUCAGGCAGGCUCCGUUUUUCACUUGCUCUUGCGGAUUACGUUUUCAGCCAAAACGUUUCGUUUUAGGGUCUUGUUGUUGUUGCCCUGGCCAUUUUUUCCGAGCCAAAAAGAGGUUGGGUUAAAAUAAAAUUAUUUAUAAAGAAAGAAAAAGUUAUAUUACCCCCGAUAUAGAUAUCAAGUUUAUGUUAAUGCAUCAAUAAGUCAUCUAUAUUUUUCCAUUUGACAUUAAGGUUCGUUUUGUUGUAUAAAAAGCCGUUUACUUUUCAUUUCGUCAACGAAAAUGUUUUCGUUUUGAAAGCGAAUAAAUCUUGCGGAAUUCGAAAACGGGAGCCCCAAUAAAUGUGUAUUCAAAAGUAAAUCGAAAAACUUUUGUAAAUGUGAAAAAAGGAGCCUGGCUGUACAUAUAUAUUUCAGAGAUUUUGUUCCGACUUGUUAGUCUGAAAUUUAAUUCCUUCCAUUUGGUUUUUUUUUUAGGGAAUGUAUUACCCAUUGGACCAGUCUCUAAGUGAACUGAAAUAAACGUAAGAUUUGAUUAAACAAAAUGUCUGCCCAAACUCUAAAAAAGUCAACCCAAAGGUUUUAGUAUAUUCAUGUAAUUAGUUUUCUUUUUUAUUAUUCACUUUAACAAGCAAAAACAUUCAAUAUAGUGUGUGUUUUGUGUAUACAUAUACAUACAUGUACAUACAUAUAUAUAUAGGUUCAUAAUCGUAUAUACGAGUAUAUCUAAUGUCACGCUUUUGGGCCAUGGCAACAUUUGUGUGCUGUAUGUAUGCGUAUUCUGGUUGGAUCUGGAUUGGAUUGCUGCCUUUUGUAUAUAGUAUAUGGACUUAACUGUUUAGCUUCGCAAAUUAGUGAUAACAUAUACAUAUGGAGGAUAUAUCCUGCUUCUUCUAUAUCGUCGUCUUAUGUAAAUGCAAGCCUUAUACUUUUGCGUUACAUAAUACAUACAUAUAUAUUGUAUAUACAUAUAUAUGGUAUAUAUAUAAUUUGUAUAGAGGUGUGUGGGGGUGUGUGUCUGUAUAUAUAUGUAAAUAUGUUGAGCAAAUCAAUAUUUUGUGUUCUUCAGCGCGAGUGCCGCCCCCGAAAAAUCUUAUGCUAAAUAGUUGCUUCUUUGGAUUUUCUCAUUUUGUUAUUGGAUUUGUUCUUGCUCUAAAUAUUACGCUUACAAAAAUACAGAUCAUCUCAAAUACUUGUCAAUGCUUCACAGUUGUACACAGUUAUACAUACAUAUAUAGAGCCACAUAUAGAGUUAUACGGCGUGUUGCAUACACACAUACAUAUACAUACAUGGUUAUACUCUCCCGAUCCGAUCUCUCCCAUCUACUAAUACUUGGAUCGCCUCUGCUUCCGCUUCCUUUGCAUUUUAUUUAGCAACUGUGUCUUUUUUUUUGGGUGCUCGGCUUUAAGCGGUGCUCCAAAACAUGAAUCCUUUGGAGAUUCGAUUGCAGGCUGGAUCUAAUCCUCCGCUCUAGAGGAUCGGUCACUGCUUUCGGAUAAUGGUAAAUGCAUUUAGAAGCUUUUCGUCUGCUCGUAGUACAAUAUUUGUGCUAUAAUUUAAGUACAGUCCAGGCCCGAUAACUAGAAGCACCUUUUAACUAGACCGACAAAAAAAAGUAUUUCUCAUUUCUGGACGUUUUCAUUUGAUUUGAAUUCUUUGGUUUCAAGAGUACACACGAAUUAUAAGUUAAGGGGGAGACGACGUUAGCAUUUUGAGAUGCCUGGGGACAUCACGUUAUUUUGUAUAGUUUUUUCCAUCAAUUAACUACGGUGUGCGGUGCGUCUCAGAACUGUAUGACAUGUGGAAUUGGGAGAGUUUUUGCGAUCAUUAAAUACGGCGAGUAUACACAUUAUUGAGUAUCUUCCACUUGAAUUUAGUUCUUUUAUACACUAUCAAUUUUGAAGUUAUUCGAGAACAUACCAAUACAUGUUAUCAAAUAGACAGAUCUUAAACUCUAAAUCUAUGUUAUCGAAUUGAUUCAGAAUUGAAGGUGUAUAUGGAUAGCUCCACACCUAAUACUGCUAUAUAUACCUGUCCGUACAGUAGCGAACUGCACUGCACCAUUUCACUUGAAAGAGCUCUUUUGAUAAUGGGAAUAUUUGAGCCACAAUUUUUCAGAGCAUCGAAUUCUAAUCAUCAUCGAGCAUCCUCCGUGCGUAUAGUAUAUAAAUACAUAUAUGUAUAUAUCUUUAUAGAUUAUGGAAAUAAGCUCUCUCUCUCACACACACGCAUAUCUAUACAUACUUACACGUACACACUCUCUCACACACACGGAAAGACAUAGGCACAACCUAAGCAACAUUUUUGGAAAGAGUUUCAAAACGAGUUUUCAAGACAUUUUUGUGGGAAAAUUAACCUUUUAGCUCAUUUUUGUGUGUUCAAGCUUUCAAGAAACAGUCUUCAUCUUCAGCUUCAGCUUUGUCUUUUUUUUGUUUUUGGUUUUUUUUUCGGGGUUUCUUCCGGGAGAGAAACAUAACAGUGAAAGUUGCUUGGGGAUGGGUAUAAGGGGCCUUUGGGCGUUCGCGAAAGGGCUAUUGAAAGGUUCCGAAUGCUUCCGAAGCACGUGUCCCAUUCUAUGCACGCGUUUGCGUCCAUAUAGAAGGACCAAACGAAGGAUCGUUAGAUAAGCAGGCGAAAAAGAAGAGAUACUCGGAGAUCCUUGUGACACGGGAGUUCCCUUAGUCGUCAUCCGACAGAUUCGUGGUGGUAAGCAGCGUGGCAUUAUCUUCGGCUCCCUGCUCCUCAAUGUCCUGUAAAGAAGAGGCAGAGAGAAGUCUUUCAGUUACAUAUGUUCUUAAAUGUGUACAUCCCCUCCCCCACAUCUAUCAGUCAGAGCAUUCUUCAGUUUUUCUUAUAUAAAAUAUAUAUAUUUAUACAUAUAUUUAGCAAUUGUUUUUUUUUGUCUGCUUCGUUUACAAUCUUCGUCUGCUGCUCUGGUUCUUUUAUCUUAAACAUUCUUCAGAUUUAAUUUCUUUUAAGUGGUUUUUCGUUUUUGUUUUAUAAAAAAUAGUUUUACAUGCAAAUAGGACGAUUGGAAAUUGUUGUUAUUGAAAUAAUUUUGUAGGAAUCGCACGAUUACUUAUUACAAAGAGAUUGGAACCAAAAAACACACCACGCACACAUGCA